CGGGUGGUAAUGCCGGAUGUUCCACAUGAUCGCAUGUGAUUGUGGGAAAGAUUCUAUCGGCGUGGGAUGGGGUCGCGUCCUAUCAGCUUGUUGGUGAGGUAACGGCUCACCAAGGCUUCGACGGGUAGCCGGCCUGAGAGGGCGACCGGCCACAUUGGGACUGAGAUACGGCCCAGACUCCUACGGGAGGCAGCAGUGGGGAAUAUUGCACAAUGGGCGCAAGCCUGAUGCAGCGACGCCGCGUGAGGGAUGGAGGCCUUCGGGUUGUAAACCUCUUUUGUUUGGGAGCAAGCCUUCGGGUGAGUGUACCUUUCGAAUAAGCGCCGGCUAACUACGUGCCAGCAGCCGCGGUAAUACGUAGGGCGCAAGCGUUAUCCGGAUUUAUUGGGCGUAAAGGGCUCGUAGGCGGCUCGUCGCGUCCGGUGUGAAAGUCCAUCGCUUAACGGUGGAUCUGCGCCGGGUACGGGCGGGCUGGAGUGCGGUAGGGGAGACUGGAAUUCCCGGUGUAACGGUGGAAUGUGUAGAUAUCGUAAAAAAAA
RNAcentral lists this ribosomal RNA (539 nucleotides) under Bifidobacterium bifidum. Its description in RNAcentral is "bacterial SSU rRNA". It matches the Rfam family "Bacterial small subunit ribosomal RNA", at positions 157 to 708 of the family's 1533-position model. Lineage: Bacteria; Bacillati; Actinomycetota; Actinomycetes; Bifidobacteriales; Bifidobacteriaceae. The record is from RNAcentral.